GAUAGAUGGCUAUACUUAACGCGUAGUUGUAAAAAAAUAUAUAUGCAAAUACAUGAUUUUCAUACGAUAAGUUGCUUAUUAUUUUAUACUUUGUGGAAAACAAUUAAUAAAAUGGAAGCUUUGCUACAAUCGUGGGAUUUAAGUGAGUUACACUCGAUUUUUUGUGUAAACCAUAUAACUGACUUUGAAAUCCUUGGUGAAUUCCUUACUAAAACUCGAGAAGAGACCCAAAAAGAAAUAAUCCCUAGUGUUUGUUUACGACUUCGUUUAAAUAAAAAAUAUAAUGAAUAUAUUUCCCAUCACGAGAAGAUUAAUGUAAAACUUUUCUAAAAAUAAUAAGAGGAAUUUUUUAAAUAUUAAUAAUCCAGUG
Long non-coding RNA from Microplitis mediator, 370 nucleotides. RefSeq lists it as uncharacterized. The record is from RefSeq and is a predicted model, not a curated record. NCBI's taxonomy places the organism in Eukaryota, Metazoa, Arthropoda, Insecta, Hymenoptera, Braconidae. The transcript is spliced from 3 exons.